RNAcentral lists this ribosomal RNA (254 nucleotides) under uncultured bacterium. Its description in RNAcentral is "partial 16S ribosomal RNA". It matches the Rfam family "Bacterial small subunit ribosomal RNA", at positions 524 to 776 of the family's 1533-position model. The record is from RNAcentral.
UACGGGGGGAGCAAGCGUUGUUCGGAUUUACUGGGCGUAAAGGGCGCGUAGGCGGCCACUGCAAGUCGGUUGUGAAAUCUCCGGGCUUAACCCGGAAAGGUCAAUCGAUACUGCAGGGCUAGAGUGCAGAAGGGGCAACUGGAAUUCUCGGUGUAGCGGUGAAAUGCGCAGAUAUCAGGAGGAACACCGAUGGCGAAGGCAGAUCUCUGGGCCGUAACUGACGCUGAGGAGCGAAAGCAUGGGGAGCGAACAGG